UUCUAAACAAAUAUAAUUGAAUACAUUAACACGACAGUACUGUUAACUAAAAAUAUAUCCGAUAAUUAUUACUUCUCUUUCAAAGCAAAUACUACAUAUCACCGUCCAAUAAUUGUACAAGAAAUAAAAAUAUAUAUUUUCUAAUUUAUAGAAUAAAUAAUAAUAAAGUAGUAAAUAUUUUAAAUAUCAAACAAGAUUGAUGAUUCUAUCCAUGGUAUGGAAAACCACUUUAUUUAGUCACAUGUGAUCGUCAUCUCUGCAACCUGAAACAUUUCCUGUAUUCAUCAUGCAGACUUUCCAGGAGUUCCUAGACCUGGAGAACCUUUACCGCGACAAUCGGUGAUGGGUGAGCAACCCCUUUGCCAUCGAUGGGCUUCUUGAGGCGGAGCCUUGGGAUUCUGGCGACAACCCACUGGUGGACUCGGUCCAUGGCAUGGGUUUAGGAACUUAUCAAUGUCAACCUCACCAUGUACGUGCAUGACCAAAAUCAUGCUGACAAGAGUCAGACAUAUGAGCCAUUUCUUCAUGAUGGAGAGUCCCAUGAUCUCUAUGUUAAAUUCCUUUUUCUUUAGCUUCCAAUGCGUGGCUAGUCAUGUGAAGGGAGUUUAUAUAGAUUUUGGAUAUGGAGACCUUUGGGGAGUCGAAUGUCUUAAUAUAGAAGAAGUGCUUAAAAUAAAGAAGGGCAAAACCCUUUUAUUUGGAUGGUUGGAAAAUGAUUUAGAAAAAUAAUUUUUGACAACUAUUUUAACUAUUUAAGGAAAAUUGUUCGUUAUUGUUCUGUAACGUAAAUAAAAGUUUCUUUUAACCUAUUUUUUAACUACGACAAAUGUCAUUUAUUUGACCAAAUUUUUAGUGUCAAUGACUUCAAAAUAUUUCCUUGGAGUAAAAAAUAAAAAAUAAUUUGGUAUAUGAUUGUUAGGUAUUUUUGGGCAUAAAAUAUAUAUGUCACAUUUCACAGUGAUAAAUGUCAAAUAUUUCAUUAAUUCUUUCAAAUCAAUGACUCCAAAAUUUCAAUUUACAAAGUUUUUGCCCAAACUUUUGUUUUCUUUGUUCAGUUCAACACAUAGUCUUAGAACAUGCCCAAAUUUUGAUAGUGACCCUAAAAUGUUUUUGAAAUGAAGAUGAUAAAAAAUGUUAAAUAAUAAUAAUAAUAAUAAUAAUAAUAAUAAUAAUAACUAUUGUUUUUGUUUUGUGGUUAUGAGAGCUCUAUGUUUUUGCUAAACUAUUAUGAUGCUUUCAAUGCUUAAUUAUGUUAUAUGCAUGACACUAAAAAUUUCAUUUAUAGAAUAUUAAUUAAAUUUAAUUUAAGUUUUAUAAAAAAAUGAAAACAAUUUCAUGAUUAAAAAUAAAUAGCUUUGAAUAAAAUAUGAAUAGUAAUAUUAUAAUAAAAUAAAAAAUUAUUGUUAUUUUUUGAGAAAAAUAAUAUUUUGGAAGAUGUUAGAAAAAUAUGAAUAUUAACAUCUUCAUAAAAAAAAGUAUAAUUGAUUUAAUCUGUAAUUAGUUGGAUUAGUUUUUAAAAUUCUAAAUUAUUUUUAAAAAUUAGAAGAUUUAUUAAAUAAUUUAUAUUAUUAAUUAUGUAUCACUUAAUUUAGAACCUAUUUAUAUAGUUAGAAAAUUACAAAAAAAAUGGUAUUUCAUAGGAGAAACAGUAAAGUCAUAAUUUAUAAUGUAUCGAUUUUGGUCUAUUAUUUUUUGUAGUGAUUAGAUUUAUUUUUAAUUUUGAGAAUUAUUGACCUCAUUAUCAACAUAAAGUGUCACUUAAUUUGAAAUUCAUUUCUCAGGUAAGAUAAUUUAUAAUAAUAUAAUUAUAUGCAAAAAAGAAAUAAAAAAAGUCAUUGUAAAAUAUUUUUUAUCCAUAAUUUUGUUUUUUAUUAAUUGGAUCAUUGUUUAAGUUUUAAGUUAUUUCUAAAAAUUAUUAGGCUUGUUAAAAAUUCAAUGCAUUCAAUCUUGUUUAAGUUGUAGUUUAUUUGUGUGGUAAGGAAAAAGAAAAAGAAAAAUAUGGUUCUAUAUAAAGGACAAACAAUACAUUCAUUUUAAACUAAUUUUUAUCCACAAUGUUUUUAUAUUAAUUAAAUCAAUAUUUAAGUUUCAAGUUAUUUAUGAAAAUUCCUAAACUCGUUAUGAAUUCAAAGCAUUAAGUCUUGCUUAAUUUGCUUAAAUCAAUUAAGUGCCAAAAUAAGAUAGUAUUUGGAAAAAUGACCUUUGCCUUUUAAAAACCUGAAGAAUGCACCAUUUUGGACUAAAUUACCCCUGAAAAAAAAAAAGAAACCUUUGAAAUUCAAAAGAGUAGAAAGGAAGAGAAAGAGAACAAACCAAGGAUUCUCUCUUGAAUGGUAGACUACAACACACUCUAUGGUCUUCUGAUAUAUAUAUAUAUAUAUAUAUAUAUAUGAAAUGAAAAUAAAACUUAAUUAAAAACCAUCCAUAUAGGAGGUAAUCAAAACAUACUUAUAUUAUAUAUAAGGAGAAAUAUCUUACAAUGAACAAAGGUAGGAAAGCUUGAAGAAAGCUUGAAAGCUUGAAGAGGUUACAUGAUGAGAGAGAAAGAAGAGAGAAGGGAGAGCAUAGGAGCCUAAAAUUGAACGUGCUCGGAAGCCUUAAUUAUGUGUCAGAUUUCAUACAAGAUUUAAGCCAAUUAUGUGCCCCUUUAAGACAAAGACUUAAGAAAAAUCCAGUCCCUUGGAAUGAGGAUCAUACCAAGAUUGUUAAAAUAGUAAAGUCUAGAGUCAAAACCUUACCAUGUCUCGCCUUAGCUGAUCAUAAAGCCUUUAAGAUUGUUGAGACUGAUGCUUCUGACAUAGGUUUUGGUGGAAUUCUUAAGCAAAGAGGUAAUAAUCAAGAAUUCUUGGUUAGAUUCACUUCUGGAACUUGGAAUCAUGCCCAACUCAACUACAACACUAUCAAAAAGGAAAUUUUAAGCAUCGUUUUAUGCAUUUCAAAAUUUCAAGAUGAUCUUUUAAAUCAGGAAUUUUUAUUAAGAGUAGAUUGCAAAUCUGCAAAAUCAGUUUUACAAAAGGAUGUUAAAAAUAUAGCUUCUAAACAUAUUUUUGCUAGAUGGCAAGCUAUUUUAAGCAAUUUUGAUUUUCAAAUUGAGUAUAUUAAAGGAGAAAAUAACUCAAUCCCUGAUUUCCUAACUCGUGAAUUUUUGCAGGAUUCACAAGACCAUGGCCCCCAAGAAAGACAAACAACCUUUUAGGUCCAUUAAACCUACAGAUUCUAAGAAUUCCCAUUCAGCUCUUUCUGAAAAAUUCAUGCCACUUUAUUAUGACCAUUUUGAAGUAGCAGGUCUGAUAUUAGCCUGUCAUCUGUCCUCUCAGCCGAAAGCAAGAUUCCGGGUCAAAAGUCAAUAGUGUUACAGUUCCCUCUUACUGUUCACUGUUACUAUUCAAGCACUAUUCAAGCACGGGUCUACUAUUCAUAGUUACUAUUCAAGAUUCCUUUUUGUUCUUCCAGCCAUUUCAAUCAUCACAUUCCUUCAGCAUCCCCUAGUAGGGAUAUAGAUUCAAGCUCGGAAUCUCUACCUUUUGUGGAAGAUUCUUUCCCCACAAAUCCAUCUUUUAACAAUACUAACACUUCAUCUGAUUAUAUCAAUUGCAUUUUUGAAUGGCAGGGAAGGUAUGAGAUUCUUGAAAGGAAACUUGAAUUAGUUGACUUUCAUAAGCUCAUGUUAAAAGCUCAAGCCUCAUUUUCCCCACUGGAAAAUGGUGAGAAUAAGCAUUCUACCCCACUGGUGAAUGAUAAAUUGAGUGAGGAAGAGUUGGGUUACCGUAUGCUACGAAUGUAUCAUCGUAAGACAGAGAAUCUAUACUCUCUUAAGCCAGAUCUACGUCUUCUAAUUUUGGAAAAGGCUAAGUCCUCAGCAGAAGAAAGACAAAUCUUCAUCUCUUCAUACCUCCAGGAUCUUCAUCUUUAUCUUUCUACCAAUAUUGGUCUUAAGGUCCCAGGAUUAAGCUUGGUUACUGAUAAGGAAGUUGAUGAUUCAAAAAUUUGCAGAAUGAUUGAAGAACCUUUCCAGUACCAACAAGGCAUCAAGAAAAUGAUUUGCAACUGCAACAGAAAUUUCACAAUCAGUCGUGUUUGCUUGGACUUACAAUACUAUUUGCCAAUUAGCAUCAAAUUCAAGGGUGAAGAUUUAUUAUUAACUCUAGAAAAGCUUCUGGACCAUGGUUUGGUUCAUCAAAUCAUCUGUUCUGAUCCCAACCAAGUUUCCCAGUUUGGAAGAAAAAUUGCUCUUGGUCUAACCCAAGGUUUUAAAAUGAAUAAGAAAUUCGCGGACGCCAUCAUCAUCAGCAAAGCUCCUGAGUGGGUUUCUAGUGGCAAGCUUAUUCCAGCUCAACACAUUGUUUCUCUUCACUAUCAGAAUAGGAGACCUACUCGUCUAUCUUACCCUCUGCUAUUUUCUGAUAUUUGUGCUGAACCCAUUAUUAAGCAAAUCAAACACUGGAGAGCUAGAACUAUUUGCAGGGAUUUUGAGGCUUUUCCAGGAAAUAUGGGACAUCUUAUUGCUGCAGAUUCCUGUCAUCAAAUUUUUUGUGGCAAAAAGUUAGACCCUCUUCCAGCCUUGACUAUUACUGAAGAUAUCAAGCUUCUUGAUGAACAUCGUAAGGAUUACUCUUGAUGGCCUGUCAACAAGAAUAUUUUCUAGCCAAGCAGUUUUCAGCAACAAAAGCAGCCUGUCAUCUGUCUUCUCAGCCGAAAGCAAGAUUCCGGGUCAAAAGUCAAUAGUGUUACAGUUCCCUCUUACUGUUCACUGUUACUAUUCAAGCACUAUUCAAGCACGGGUCUACUAUUCAUAGUUACUAUUCAAGAUUCCUUUUUGCCUAUUUAAGGAGGCUCGGUCCUCAUUUGUGAGCACAUUCAAUUUUAGGCUCCUAUGCUCUCCCUUCUCUCUUCUUUCUCUCUCAUCAUGUAACCUCUUCAAGCUUUUAAGCUUUCCUACCUUUGUUGAUUGUAAGAUAUUUCUCCUUAUAUAUAAUAUAAGUAUGUUUUGAUUACCUCCUAUAUGGAUGGUUUUUAAUUAAGCUUUAUUUUUAAGUUUUUUAUUUUGUACCGCCUACAUGGUCGGUUUUAUGUUUUUAUUUUGUAUCGCCUACAUGGUCGGUUUUAAGCUUAUUAUGAACUAACAAGUUUUUGGUUCCUUCUCUUUAAAUUUCAUUGUAGGAUAUCUUUUGUAUUUUCUAACCCUUUUCUUUGUUUUGAAUCAUGGCAUAAUUCCUAUUUUCAUUGCACAUGACCUUGUCCUGGGUGUCUAUGGUAUCAGAGCCAUGUGGGAGGGAAGUUGGGUCUUGUUUUGGGUGUUCUUGGCCUAUCCUAGGAUAGGUAGCAGUGUGCUUAGGAGCGCGAGCCCUGCCGGUUGAGCCGUUGUUAGCCGUGGAUAGGCGUUUGUUAGGCUGUAAGAGGGUUGGGGUGACGUCUCAUAAGGUUUGUCAAUCUGCUAUUAGGCUCUAGAUCAAAAACCCUAAAAUGAGUUCAAUUUUCAGAACCAUGUCUAGGAGAUCCAGUGAUUCUCAAGAUACUGUUGUAAACAGUGAAGAGAUCAAUUAUCCUAAGAUCCAAAAUGAUUUAGAUGAUUGGAAGUUACCCAAGGUGUCUAAUCAAGAAAUUUAUAAGAAAGGAACCUUUAAGUUCUUCACAGAUUAUACCAUUAAGACCUCUAAAAUGACAGUCAGUUUAGAACAAGACAACCAAGUCAUAAGACUUCUAGAUAACAGAUCCGUUGAAAAGCAUAAGAAAGAUGGCUAUAAUUUCAUACACUUUGGUAUGAUUCAAGUAGCAGCUAAGCCUUUGACAAGAUUAGGUUUAAACACCGCUAUUGUCAUGUGUUUAAGAGAUAAUAGGCAUCUCGAAUAUCGAGAUUCUAUUAUAGGCGCAGUCCAAGCUGGACUGAAUGAUGGCCCAGUUUAUUUCCAGUGCUAUCCUAACUUCACAGUUAGAUUAAAAGAUGCAGACAUCUUAGAUUCAGUUGUCCUGCACAUUAAGACCCAUGGCUUUAAGAUCAAACCAGGAAACAGUCCUGUUUCAAUCAUAACCAGGUUUGCCUAUAAGAGCAUGAACACAAGCGUUGGAUCUGGGUCUCUUUGCACCAGUCCUAAAGGAGAGACCACUUACUUUCACUCAUAUAUGCUAGAUAAGUCAGAUUUCAUCAUCCCCAAGAAGAUCUUGUGGAAAGAUGUUGAUUUCCUUGAAAAAUUGGCAUUUUGCUAAUGCUGUUCCAGCCAUAGCACAACGUUCUGAAAGUAUUGAACAAAUAGUUCAAUAUCCAGAUGGAGGAGGAGAACUCAUUUUUUCCAAAUCUUUCAGACAUUCUAACAGCCCUAGAGUUUCUGUUUAUGAAUCCUCUAGAGCUUCAAGCUCUUCCAUCCCAGUUAGAACCACUAGGGAAGAAGAAGGAUCCAGCUCAGGAAAUCCUAAUAAUGUUAAGCUAACAGGUGUCAGAAGUUACACCAAUGCGGCUAGACCAUUUUACUCUGAGGAAAAUGAGUCUACUCAGGAAUCCCAACAGGAUGAGUCCCCUGUUAUGUCUCCUACCUAUUCCCAGAUGAUUAACACAAUAAGCCUAAGUGAUGAGGACUUUGAGAUCAACAAGGAUCUCUUAAGAAAGGACUUCUAUUCUGAAGUCAAUAAGCAAAGAAAUGAUUGGUUCUUUAGCACUGUCCCUAAGGUCAUUAGAACCAUUUACCAAAAAGAAUUCUAUGCCUACUUAAGACAAGAAAAGAAAAACAUUAAGUUUUGGAUUUGGUUUGAACUCUUCAAACAACAGGAAUAUCCAGAUUAUCCUUGUAAGCGUGUAGAUAACACUAAGAGCACUAAUAAAACUAAGCCCUUUGAAUUUUCUAAGGAAUUCGAAGAAAAUCCCCAAAUCAACCAGGCUUUUGUUGAUAGAAUUAAUCAGAAGAUUAAGGAUAAUCUUGUUGCCCCUUUGACUGUUCAGCCUGAUAAGAGAAUCAAUAUGGUUAAAGGUGAAAUUAGUUCAGAAGAAGAAGCUGAUGAACUAAUUAAGAUGUUUGAGGGACCCCAUAAUCAAAUUAUUAACAACUUGGAAACCUUUAAGACUAGGAAUUACUAUCCUAGGCCUACUUUUCCUGACAUGCAGUUUGAGGAAAGAAAUCAGUAUACUCAAGCCUCUUACACCAGUGGUACUAUCUAUGAAUGGAACAUAGAUGGUAUGACCGAGUAUAACAUACUCACUAAGCUUCAAGAAAUGACCAUGGUAAGUACAUCCUAUAAAUUAAACAAUAGACUGCCAGAUCAUGCUGUAGCUCAGACCAUUGUUGCUGGGUUUAUAGGUCAGCUUAAGGGUUGGUGGGAUAAUUAUCUCACUUUUGAUGAUAGGAAUAGUAUCCUUAAAGCCUAUAGGAUUAAUGAGAGUAAUGAAGUUGUUAAGGACGAAGAUGGCCAAGAUAUUGAGGAUGCAGUGGCUACUCUAAUCUACUCAAUAUCCAAGCACUUCAUUGGAGAUCUUGCAAAAAUUAAGGAUAAAACUGCAGAUCUCUUAACCAACCUUAAGUGUCCCAAGCUUCAUGAUUUUAGGUGGUAUAGGGAAGUCUUCCUAACCAAAGUCAUGCUAAGAUCAUAUUGUAACCAGUCUUUUUGGAAAGAAAAAUUCAUCUCAGGAUUACCCAAGCUUUUCUCUGAGAGAAUUAGGAUCAAGAUAAGGGAACAGUAUAAUGGUCAAAUCCCUUAUGAUAAGCUAACCUAUGGUGAGAUUAUAAACAUUGUCACAGCUGAAGGGAUUAAGUUGUGCAAUGACUUUAAGCUUAAGCAACAAAUGAAGAAUGAACAAAAAAUCUACAAGAAUGAAUUUGGAUCAUUCUGUAGCCAGUUUGGUUUCAGCCAAAAAGAAACUAUGCCUCCCUCUAAGCAAAAGCCAAGCAGGAAGCCUAGCAAAGAUAAGUUUUACCACAGUAAGAGAGGUACCCAUGACAACUAUAGGAUGAAUGAUACUAAGCAUUCAAGGCACGUCCAAAGAAGGGUCAACAAAGAUACCCAUAAAAAGAUAGAAACUCCUUUAGACGUCAAGCCAAUUAUCUGUUUUAAAUGUGGCAAAGUUGGCCAUUAUAAGAAAGAUUGUAGAGUUAAGCAAAAGAUUAACAACUUAAGUGUCUCAGAUGACCUAAAAAAUAUGCUUUGUAAGGUAAUGUUAAACUCCUCAGAUUCUGAAUCAAGGACUGAUUCAGAUAAUGAAGAUGAUAUUAAUCAACUAGAUAGCAGUGGCGAUGUUUCUAGCCAAACUUCUAGUGACCAAGAUGUUUGUAUUAAGGGUAAUUGUAAUUUCCGUCCUAAAACCAUAAAUGUCAUAAGCCAGGAUCAGGAGUUCAUCCUAGAUACUUUAAGAAAAGUUGAAGAUGAAAAGACUAAGCAAAAUCUUUAUGAAGUUUUUAAGAAAUCUGUGGUUAAGGUAGAAGCCAAGAAGACUGUUAAUCCUUAUAACCUUAACGAUAUCUUAAACAGGUUUGACCAGCAGUUUCCCAAGGAUGUCAGCUUUAAGGAACUUCAUGAAGAAGUUAAGCAGCAUAAAAAGAAGAUUAAGGAGUUAAGACAAUUCAUAAGUCUAGGUCUCUCUGAUCUCCAAGAUCAAAUCAAUAGAAUUGGCAACCAAGAAAACCAUAUGGAUAUUCCAGAAUCUUCUCAUGUUAAUGAUAAUGAGACAGAUACUUUUUUUAAUACUGUGAGUAGGGUUAUCUUCCAGAGGUGGGAAGUCUCCCUUACUAUAGUAGUCAAAGAUAAAUUUGUCUUUGAUAUUAUUGCUUUGAUUGAUUCAGGAGCAGCUGAAAAUUGCCUUCAAGAAAGUCUUGUACCUAUUUCUUUAUGCGAAGAGACUAGUCAGUCUCUAUUUGGAGCCAAUGGCAAAAGACUUGUCAUUAAGUAUAAAUUAACAGAUGUUCAUAUCCGUAACCAUGACAUCAGUAUUAAGCAAACCUUUAUCCUUGUUAAGGAUCUUAAGGAAAAAACCCUUCUAGGAAUACCCUUCUUAAGCUCUAUUUAUCCCUUGUGGGUAGAUAACCAAGGUAUAAGAACAAAGCUUUUUGAUAAGGAAAUUCUUUUUGAAUUUGCUAAUCCUAUUGAAAACAUCACUCCUUGUGAUCAAGGAAUUAAUCUUGUUAAGAUUAAUGAGCCACCUGAGAUACUAGGAACCCAUUUCAUUCAUAAUAUCAUUAUAAAUGAUAUUUUAAGCAUUUCUUUAUGCAUUUCAAAAUUUCAAAUUGGGAUUUUGAAUCAAGAAUUUUUACUAAAAAUUAUUUUCAAAGAUUUUGAAAAAAUUAAAUAUAUAACUUUUAAGUAUGAUUUAAUUAACUGGUAUAUUAUUUUAAAAUCUAAGUUUCAAAGUUACUUUAUUAAAGGAGAUUAUUUCAACCCUAAUCAGCUAUCUCGUGAAUUUUGCAGGGUUCAUGAGAUCAUGGCCCCUAAAAAGAAUAACCAAGCUUCUAGCUCUCAAAAACCCCAAUCCAGUCAAGCUAACCAAUCUCCUUCUACCCAUAAAAUGUUUUGGAGUCAACAAGUUGAAGAAGAAGAAGCACAACUUUUGGCAAAGCUUCAUUCUUCUAAACCUAUGCAUGAAUCCAGUCAUAUGCCUAACAAAAUGUUAACCUUAUACUAUGAUCCUUCUGAUCAUUCUAAACCAAUUAAGGCAACACAAUAUCCAGCUACCUCAGGGUCUCAGACCUUUAAGCAGGUUACUAUGGCUAAUCCCUCUCAAAAGGAAUUAGCAACAAGCUCUUCUUUCUCAAGUAAACAAAUUGUGGUGGCUGCCAACCCCACACCUCUUUCAACAAAAUCAAGAUAUUGGCAAAAUGAUUUAAAUCAAUCUCUUUUAGUUAUUGAAAGAGAAUUUUUCUCUGAAAACCCCAGAGAGAUUGCUGCAAAAUCAUUUCAAGAAAAUUUUCAUUAUCCCUCUGGUGAUAUUUUAAAAACAAGAGAGUUUUAUGAAGCAGUCCUUAUAGAAACUGGUUCUGUUAAGAUUAAGCAUAACGCUGAUAAAUUCAGCAAUAUGGGCUUGGCAUUCUUCACCUGCCAUAUCUAUAAGAUCCUUACAGUCAAGCAAUGGGGUGGAAAUCCUAAUCUUUCAAGGGAAUUUUCUGAACCAUCUAAGCCAAGGUUUUUUAAUUAUUGGGAUUAUCAGAGAGCAUGGUUUAAUGCUUUUCUGAUCCAGAAUAGGGACUUCCAUCAUUCAUGGAUGUUCUAUUUUCCAUCUAAGAACCAGCUUUCCUCUUUCCCAUUUUGGUUCUACAGUUGGUGGACUUAUUACGGUCCAACUAUUAAGAUUCUUCCUAAGCCCAUUCUGGAUGGCUUUGAGCUAUUCAGAAGUUCUUUUAAUAUUCCCAGAGAACUUUCAGCUUUUCCUCCUUUACUAUUCUUUUUUAGCAAUUUUGGCCUGGCUUGGAUAGUCCAGUGGGACUAUAUUAUUAUUACAGACGAAUCAGCAGCCUUUCCAUAUCUGGGAAGGACUUUUAAAACUAAAUGGUGGGAUGCAUUGAAAAAUGAUGCAUCUAUUGAUGCGGUCAAGCAGUAUUUCCUCAAGAAUCCCUCACAAGUCUCAACCAGUGAUGAUAUGUCUCAGUUUCUCCUCAAAAAGCAACAGUUACAAGCCAUGCUUGCAGUAGCUAAGACCCCUCAAGAGUUUCAGAAAAUCCUUGAUGAAGGAAGCUCAAGCUUCUCCCAAGAAAAUUCUUAUGCAGAGUCUGACGAUUCAACAAGCUACCUUCCAGACAAUGGUGAUGACUGUGAAUGAAUCCUUCCUCCAAUAAGAAGAUCUAAGUAAUCAUCAGCCUUUUGUCUUCCAUCAAGAGUAUUUUACAAGCUUUGCAGUAUCUGUUCCAAAAGCAGCAAGUAUGUGUCUACACAGUAUAAAGUAGCUUGCCAGAAGUCUUCUCAGCCGAAAAAAGGGUGUUUCGGGGAUUUUCAGUAUAAAAGUGAAUCUUACUAUUCACUAUUCACUAUUCACUAUUCAAGCACGGGUCCACUAUUCAUGGUUACUAUUCAAGAUUCCUUUUUUGCCUAUUUAAGGAGGCUCGGGCCUCAUUUGUAAGCACGUUCAAUUUUAGGCUCCUAUGCUCUCCCUUCUCUCUUCUUUCUCUCUCAUCAUGUAACCUCUUCAAGCUUUCAAUCUUUCUUCAAGCUUUCCUACCUUUGUUCAUUGUAAGAUAUUUCUCCUUAUAUAUAAUAUAAGUAUGUUUUGAUUACCUCCUAUAUGGAUGGUUUUUAAUUAAGUUUUAUUUUCAUUUCAUUUUAUGUUCUUAUACCUCCUACAUGGAUGGUUUUAAUUAAGCUUUAUUUUUAAGUUUUUUAUUUUGUACCGCCUACAUGGUCGGUUUUAUGUUUUUAUUUUGUAUCGCCUACAUGGUCGGUUUUAAGCUUAUUAUGAACUAACAAGUUUUUGGUUCCUUCUCUUUAAAUUUCAUUGUAGGAUAUCUUUUGUAUUUUCUAACCCUCUUCUUUGUUUAUAUAUAUAUAUAUUGUAGAUUUGCGUAUUGUUAUUGAUUAUUUGUGUAAAAGGAUUCUAAAAGGUUAUUCAUUUGAUUGAAGUGUUAAUUUUUUUUUCUCCAGUUUCUGAAAAAACGCGGGAAUGGGAGAGAACGAAACAAAAUAGAAGAAAACUGAAAAGGAUCUUGAAAAGUAUGUUUAUUACUUUGAAAUAGUUUGUUUUUUUUGGAUUCUCUCUUUGUUGAUUUCAUACAUUUGCUUGAGGUGUGUGUUUUCUUUCUGCAUGGUUUUAGAAAAAAUGCGAGAAAAAGUAAUGGGUUUAUACGUUCACUUUUUAUUAAGCAUAAAUAUAAGGGUUUUUCUUUAAUUUGUUAGCAUAUUCCUCUUUGAUUUUGAACUCUGAAAACACAUUAGUCUACCAAAGAAGAUAUCUAGUUAAAUUGAAAAAAAAAUGUCUUUAAUUAGAUUUCUUGGCUAUUUUAUUUUGAUGUUUUGGUCUAGUUGUUAAGAUUUUGAAGCAUGAUGUUGUGGCAAAUGCUUUGUUUCUAUAGUGUAGAAAUCUAGUAGAAAAGUGACAAAUGUGUUGACCAAUUUGGUUUUCUAAAGAGUUGAAUCAUAAUAAGAGAAAUAGAAUUUGUCCCCAUUUUGAUAUCUCCUCCUUGGUGAUUGGAAGAAACAUUUCAUUCGUCCCAUAGGAAAAUGAAUUUGUUUCCUUAAACCCUCCAGGUGGAGAUAUUGAAAGUGUUGUUGAAGUCUUUUUCCAUGAGCAGUGUUGGAAGAAUGGUUUUGAUUUCUUUUCCAAAAUUCAAAGCCCUUUUUUUAGAGUAGUUUUGGCUUAUAUCAUAAAGUAAAAACAAUACUUCUUCUAUGAGCAUUCAUGUCAAUUAUUCUCCUUUUGUGUUGCUUAACUUUUAAGUAAUUGAACCAAUAUGAUAUACAUGAAUAGUCAUUCUUUUCUAGUAAUGACAAAAUUGGAGAUCAUUGUAGUCUUUGCCAGUUGGGUGUCUAGUUUUUUAGUAGUGUGGGAAUUUUUUUUUCCUAUUUGUAGUUCUUUUCCCAAGGGAUAGGAAGUUGGUUUAAUUGAAAACCUCAAUUUUCAUCAAGCAAUUUGCAUCCUUUGCCUAUCUAUAAUUUCCAUUUCGCUUGUAUGGAUUGAGAAUUAAAUCCCUGCUCUCCCUUGGAUGUGAACCAACUUUAAGAAGCACCCCAUCAAGGUCUAAACCCAGUUUGCUUUUACUAGAUCAUAAGUGACAUUUGUUAAAUUUGGGACCUAGUUGGUCCUACAAUGCAAACCACAACAUUGAAAUAGUAAUCUCUAACAAAAGUCAUGACAAAGAAUGAUCCCAACUAAGGAUUGAAAUAUUACUCACAACUAAGAUAUUGAGUGAGAUGAUGCAUAUGCAUAGCCAAAAUACUUCUACCAUAUGCUUUCUAUUAGUAAGUAUGGUCUUUUAGAACUUCAUUUAUAUCUAGAUAUAGAUGCAAGGAAAAGUAAUAUGACAUGGACUCAUGAUUAGUUCUUAAAAUUUAGGCAUGAAUAACCAAAGUGUUUGAACUUAUUAGAAAAUCAUGUGCAUCGUGCAAUCUCUUUCAUCAAUAAAAGAUUUAAAAGAAUUCAAUGAAAAAUGUAGUGUAAGUUUUAUGAAAAUGUAAAUUUCUAAAAAUUGUUUCUUAGGUGAUGUAAAAGAAUGUUAUACAAUGGUCUCUAUUUCUCUCUCUCUCUCUCUCUUUAUAUAUAUACAUAUACUUAGUAUAAACUUAUGGAUUUUAAUAAGUAAAUGGAUGAUUGUUAUUUGAAUUUUUUUAUAUUUAUUUUUUAGGGACAAGGAAAAAAAAAUAGAUUUUCAAUCUAGUAUAACUCCAAAAGUGAUCAUCCUAGAAAGUGAACUACUCAUCUUUAAUGGCAAAUACUGAAGAAUCUAAUGAGAAGGUUUGUAUUUUUUGUAUAUUUGGGAUGUUAAUGUGUUGAUGAUUCUUGUAUAUGAGAUCAAUCCUUCAAUAGAAAAAUAUAUAUCUAUUGCAUUUCAUAUGCUAAAAAUAUACCAAAUAAGUUAAGCCUAGAUAUUAAGUCUAUGGAUGAUAUUAUAUCUCAAGUUUGCCAUAAAUAAUGAACUAAUCAAGUUAAGUUUUUUAUAUGUUAAUCAAAAUAUUCAUUUAAACUAAACUAUAGUUAAGUUUUAUAUAGAAAGAAUUUAACCGAGGUUAAGUUAUUAAAAAAUAAAAAUUCACCUGAACUUAGCCAAGGUUAAGUCUCAUUAACAAAUAACAUAGCUAUAGUUAAGUUCUCAAUUAAAAUAUUUGAAACUUGCUUACAAUAUAAUUAAUUGAAUCGGUAUUUUGAUUUUAGUAGAAGUAGUUAAAUUUUUUGUAAUUUAUUUUAGUUCAUGCAGAAUGUUUGUAACUCUUAAUAUAUUUUCUUAAUGUGAAGCACAAUGUAUGUGACUUUGUCGGCUACCACUUCUUCAACAAUCUUCAUACAGAAAAUACGUAAUGAAGAUCACUUCCCAUCUAAGGUGGCUUGAUUAUCCCACAUUAUUGCCAUUGACAACAUAAAUAAGAACUUGAAUGAAACCCAACUAUAGAUGUUUAAAACAUCUUGUUUUGCCCACUUCUUGGGUAUGGCUGAUUUGAAAUUUUCUGCUCAAAUUGUUCAUAACAUGUUGUUAUGCCAAUGUGACAUUAAAAAAAAAAAAAAAAAAAAAAAAAGAUGAUACGUGGAUACUUGUUCACUCUAAAGGUUUGAGAUUUAGUGCGUUGGAGUUUGCAUUGAUAACCAGAUUGAAAUUUGGGAAAAUUUCACAAUUUGACAUAACAUCUUUGAUGAUAAGAGAUCGGUAUUUUAAUAGAGAGAAUAAGAUUUGUAGUGAUCGAUUGGAAGAGGUUUUCAUUGCAUUAUGUAAGAAAAGAAAGAGAAUGAGCACAAAGAAGACAAAAAACAAGGCAAAGUUAAAUGGGAAAUCAAAUCUUGAUGAAGACAUUGUGAAGUUAGCAUUGUUGUACUUUGUUGAGCAUGUUCUACUAAGAAAAGAAUGGAAGAAUUUGAUAGAGUUACAAUGAGUUCAACUUGUUGAUAAUUUAGAGGAGUUCAACAAGUAUUCCUGUAGGAAAAAUUUUCGUGAAAGAACAUUAUUUGGGUUGAAAAGGGCUUUGGACAAAAGACAAUCAAAAUAUGUAGAGAAAAAAAGAAAAAAAGAAAAAGAAAAAGAGAAUGCAUCAUAUGAAGCAUGCACUUGUGAGAUUUCCAUAUGCCUUUCAAAUUUGGGCAUGUGAAGUCAUUCCAUUGCUUGGAAUGAAAUAUGCAAGUCGCAUUGGUAGAAGUUUUUCCAGAAUUUUAAAUUGGAUAGGGAUUGCAACUACAAAGUACACUGAGAUUCAAUCAUUAUUUUUAGAGUCAAAUGUGAGUGAUAUCUUAAUUUUUGCUAAUACUUGCUUUCUUAUUUACAUAACCGUAUUCUUAUUAUUAAUUGUUUUCUUUCUAUCUUGAAUUAUUAGUUAUCUUUGCAUUCCAUACUCACUUUGACAUUGGAAGAGGGUGAACAAGAGUAUGUGAAAUGUUUUGAAUUUGAAGCUUAGUCGGAUGAUGCCUUACAAGAUAAUGUGAAUGAUUGGGAGAAAGAUAAAUAUCAUGAAGAAGCUGAGGCUUAUACUGCAACAGUAGUAGCAACAAUGAAAGGUGAAAAAGAAGGUGAUAGUUCUAAAUUACCUUCAUUCAAGGUAACUAAAGUGAAAGUUAUUAAUAUUAUUUCACUAUACAUGUUUAAGAAUGUUUGACUAAUGUUAUAAUGUUUUUUCUUAUGUAAAGGAAUUGCUUAUGAUGUUCAUCAACAUAUUGAUGCCACUUUAUACUUUUUUUCGAAAAAAGAGGAUACUAAACUCUGAUGUGUUUACACAAAAAUUCACCACCACUGACACAUUAUUUUGGGUAUGCAUAUUAGUGCAUUUUAACUUUGUUUCAUUUUGUUUUUAAAGUUAUAUUCACCACUUUUGAUUAUUUUUUCCUUAUGUAGCAAAAAGUAGAUGGUUGUUGAAGGAUGAAUCAAAAGACAUGGAACAAAUACCUUUUACCGGAAGAUGACAUCCUCAUCGAUUAUGCCAUGGGUCUUUAUCUUAGGCCUUUUUUGAAAUGGUCUGAGGUUGAUGUCAUAUAUGUUCCUAUCAAUCUAAGGAACACACAUUGGGUACUGGGAGUUGUCCACCUUUGUAGUAGGAGAAUUAACAUUUGACUCCUUAAAGUCAAUUAACAAACCCAAUGGAUUGAAAACACUUGUCACACUGAUAGCAAUGUUGUUACCACGUAUCUUAAGUGCUACAAAAUGCUAUGGGGAGAAUGGUGACCCCAAGGGUGAACAUGCGUGGGACAUUGAGAGAUUGAACAACAUUCCACAACAAACAAAGGAGUAAGUACAAUAUUUUCCAUGCCAACACACAUAUUUCAUUAUAUAUACAAUAAUAUUUAACAUUGCUAACAUCACUUUUUAUGUGUUCAUUCAGUGGUGAUUGUGGUAUUUUUUUUAAUCAAAUUUGCAGAAGACCUGAUGAACAACCAUCCAAUGGAUACACUAAUAGGCGAGCGAAUGGAUUGGUUUCGUGAGAAGAUGGCAGCGGAGUUAUUUUUCCAUAAAGAAAUUCCUAUGGGAUCCUACUAUUGUAAAUGGAUUGAAAUUGGAUAAUGGACGAUGUUUCUAUGUAAUGACAUUGAAUUUUUUUGUUUAGCAAAUUCCUAUGUUAUAGCACGCAUUUAAAUAGUUACAUGUUUUUCAUAUAUCUAGAGAAAUGAAUGGUUGCAAAUUUAUUUACUUUUAUAAAUGUGACUGUGUUAUGAUUGUUAACAUGUUUGAAUUUAUUGUAGUAAGCAUCAUAAUAGAAACUUAUAUUUCAAUGUAGCACUCAUAUUUUUUUUGCUCAAACUUAAGGAGUGUUAAGUUACUUGUAAAAGAAACUUAACCCUAGUGCAGUUUAGGUGAAUAUCCUCAAUUAAAACUUAACUCCUACUAAAAUAUUUAUUAAAAAAACUCAACUUCAGUUUAGUUCAGGACAUUUGUUUUAAUUCAAACUUAACAAGUGUUAAUUUACUCGUAACUUACACUUAACCCUAGUGUAGUUCAGGUGAGUAUCCUCAAUUAAAACUUAACUCCUACUAUGUUCUUUAUUAAAAAAACUUAACUUUAGUUAAGUUCAGGACAUUUGUUUUAAUUCAAACUUAAUUGUUAAGUUACUUGUAAAUUAGACUUAACCCUAGUGCAGUUCAAGUGUAUAUCCUCAAUUAAAACUUAACUCCUAUUAAGUUCUUUAUUAAAAAAACUUAACUUUAGUUUCGUUGAAGUCAUUUUUUUUUUAACUGAAACUUAACUACUAUUAAGUUCUUUGGAAAAUGAACUUAACCCUAGUACAGUUCAGUUGAAUAUCCUCAAUUAAAACUUAACUCUUACUAAGUUCUUUAAUUAAAAAAAACUUAACUUCACUUUCGUUUAGGUAAGUUUUUAUAACUUAAACUUAACCAUUGUUAAAUUCUUUGUAAAAGAAAUUUAACCCUAGUGUAGUUUAGGUGAAUGUCCUCAAUUAAAGUUGUAUAUAUGAAUGAUCUCAGCAUACAUAAUGUGUUUGAUCUUAAUAUCAAUAAAAGAUUAAAACAUCUCCAAAUAUGUAUGAUCAAAUACUAACGAGACUAGUAUUCAAAAAAAUAAAAUAAAAAGUUCACUUGUCAUUUCAAAUGAGUUGGUAUUGAGGGAUGAACUUAAACUUCAUUUUUAAGCUUUAAGUUCAUCAUUUAAUUAAAAGAGACUAAAUCAAAGUACAAUUAUACGUUUUGUGCCCCUAUUCACAAUAUACAAAAAAAAUUACAAUAUCAAAUAUUUUAUAUGCCCAAUCAUCAUCUACAAAAAAUUCACCAUAAAAUUGGCUUAGUGACAGUUUCAUUCAUUCUCUGAUUGUAAGGAGCAAUCUUGCAUGCCUAUUUUAGUGUGUCCAUUAUUAUCGUUCUGAUAAUGCAGAGGGAUUGGUCGUUUGCAUGACUUUCGAUUAUGACCAUAAUCACCACAUCGACCACACCGCCAUCUGUGCUUACCCUCUCCACCCGAAAGGAUUCUUUCAUUCCUUGGUAUUCCUACUAGCCACCUUGUUUUCGGUGGUAAUACAACUCUACUGCUUAUAUCAUCAGGUAUCAUCCAAUCCCUUUGAUGUCCAGGAAGAUAGAUGGACUCGACAUAUGAAGAUAAUAAUGAGUUCACUGUGUAAUAUUUGGAGCAUAAAGGAUAGCAUGACAUAUGUGCAUAUCUACAAGCAACAAUAGCAUGUGAACACGAUAUGUGAUCAAGAUCAAACCGUUGACAUGUGCAUGAAUGAUUAUGUAAAUUCACAUGAUCACUAAAACCAUUAUAUUUAACAUUAUACUUCAUCGAGUUGAUUGCUUCAACUUCAUAUGUUGAUGAUGUAUUGUACCUUACACGAAGCUCUCCAUCAACCCAUGUUGUUAGCUCAGUUGUCAUUGACAAUGCUUGUUGUUUACGAUUUGCAAACCGUUUUUAAAGUAAAUUUCUUAACUCUUCAAUUUAUUGCAAAAUAGGAAGAUCUCUUGCAUCUUUUAACACAACAUUCAAACUUUCAGCAAUCCUUGUGGUCAAAAUGUUAUAUCUUUUUUUGGUAGAAUGUGAAUAUGCCCAUCGCUUAACACCUGCGUCUAUUAUAUAUGUUGCUGCUCUCAGAGAAAUCAUUUGUAGUUGCCCAAAUAUAAUAUUGAAUUUUGACAAGCGGUAUGUAUAAGCAACAUCAUGAACAACUUAUAGACUUCAACAUUUUUAAACUUUGUUUUGAGGUUUUUCUUCAUGUGAUAAGUGCACACACCAUGGCUUGCAUGAGGAAAAGCUUUUCGCAUAACUUUUUUAAUGUUGUUGUGACGAUCUAAAACCACCACGAGAUCAUCAACAUGGCCAAUUACUCCAUGCAAUUUUUUUAGGAACCAUUCCUAAGAAGCAUCAUUUUCAGAAUCACCAAUUCUGAAACAUAAAGGGUAUAUCUAAUUGUUUCCAUCCUUACAUGCAGCAACAAACAAAGUUCCUAAGUACUUUGCCUUCAAAAAUGUUCCAUCGAUUGUAAUGACAGGUCUUAUUGAUGUACGAAACCCAUAAAUACAUGCACCAAGAGCCAUAAAAAAAUACUUAAAUUGAUUGUCGUGGUCAAUAACUAUAUCAGUAAUGGUGUCAUAUUUUUUUUGCUCCAACACAUAACAAUAAGAUGGUAAAGCACUAUAGGACUCUUCUGGUGAUCCUCUAAUAGAACUUAGAGCAAUUCUCUAACUCUCCAUGUCUUAUCAUAGCUUAUCCCCACACCGAACUUGUUUCGAAUAUCAGCUACAAUGUCUUUUGGUCGAUAUUGAUGACCAACCCCUUGAUAUAUUUCUCUUAUGAUUUCACCAAUCAACCAACUACUUGCAUGACCAUGAUAACAGGAUAUCAUAUCCAAGCUACAAGUGUGUGUUGAAUGAUAUUUCCUUAUUUGAAAUAGAUCAGAAUUUCCCAACUUGAUUACACGAAGUUGCCACUUGCAUUCUUUAUCGACACAUCAAACAUAUAAUAACUUGGUCAAAGAUUUUAAUGUUUUGAACUAAAACUUUCUUUUCAAAGCAAUCAUGCACAACUUCUUUUGCAAUUCUUUCUUAUUGGAGUAUAUUUGAUGCUCUUCCAUGUAGUCAUCACCAGUUUCACUAUAACCAACUAUAAAUGGUUCCUCUAUGCUUUAUUCUACAUGAAUUUCAUAUUCCAUUACUGUCUUUUUCCAUUACAUCAAUUUGCAUUACUUGGCUAUCCUUGUUCGGGUUGACAUUCAUUCCACCAUCUUCAUCAUCUUUGUUCAUAUUCAAGUUAUGAGAAUCAAAACAAUUAAGUGGAUCAUAGCUCAACCUUGUUCUAUUUUCAUCAUCAAAACCACUCAAAGAUUCACUACUAUUUAUGAAUAUUGGGUCCAUAUUGAUUUCUUUCUCAACCCUAGAUAAAGUAUGAGAGCCAAAAUCAGUGUUGAUGAUUGAUUCAUACCUAUGAUUGUCACUUCUUUUCUCUAUUGUGAUACAUAAUAGAACUGGAAACUUACCAUCAAUACAAUUUAAACGAAUGAAAAAUUUCACAUCUCCAUCAUCUCUUAGCUGUAUAGGAGUGGAUGGUAUAUUGCCAUUGAAUACAUAAUUAAUCAAAAUAUUGUGCUCUAUUGGAUCUACUUUCAAAAUGUGACAAACAAUCUUCAAUAAUCCUUCAUAUGUUGUAGUCUUCUUAAGUUUAAUACUUUUACCUUGGCAACCUUCAAAGUAGUACAUGUUUCCAUUUUGCACCCAAUCUCCUUCAUACAAAAGCAUUAUUCCCACUUCAUUAAUCACUAUAACAAAAAUAAAUAAGUAAAUAAAUAAAUUGAAUUAUUGAUACAAAAAAACAAUAUUAAAAUAGUAGUUAUUUGGAUAAGAAACUCAAUCCCAGAAAGUUGUCGAUUAACAUGUUGAAUUGUACUCAACUAUCUUCAAGUUUUAUAUAUAAAGAACUUAACACUAGUAACGUCUAGUUUUUACAUGUUAAAUACGAGCUUUACUCUUUUCAUACAAAUCUUUUUAACAAAAAAUUUCACUCAUGUUUACUCUAAAAAUUUCAUUUUUUCCAUACAACCAAAUAAUGUUGAGAAUAGCAAAACUAAGAUAAUUUGUUUUCCCAAAUGGGUUUACAUACCUUCAUUCGACCUUGCCAUAUGUUUUUUUUUUUUUAAAUCUGCUUUGCUUCUAUCACCUCAAUUUUGAUGGUGGGUUGCAGUAAUGGUGUAUAGGGACGUACUCACAAUGUUAGUGAGAGAUAUGCAAAUAGAUGUAGUACCGAUGAGAAAGACAAAACUAAAAUAUUUUGCUUUUGGAGAGAUAUCAUGUCUUUGGUGGGGGAUCUUACUCUUCUCUAUUUCUCUACUCUUUUCUACUUCUCUCUAAUCAGUUUUAUUGGUGGGUUACAGAGAUGGUGUAUAUGGAUGUACUCACAGUGUUGGUGAGAGAGAUGUAGUACCGAUGAGAGAGGUAAAACUAAAGUUUUAUGCUUUUGGAGGGACAUCAUGUCUUUGGUGAGGAUCUUAUGUGUUUUUGGAAGGAAAUAAAUAAGGGUAAAAAUGUCCAAAUUAAGUCAUCUCUCAAAACAAUUAACUAGUGAGGUUACUUUUACAAUUUUACCUUUAUUUUGAGUCACCUAUUCAAAUAACGAAAAAAAAGGAAUAGAUUAUGUAAUAAAGUUAUUGGUUACCUUAGUAGCAUAGAUGGCCAUGGCAACCAAACUAGAGGAAAUGGGCAUUUGCAGAACAAUGGGCGUCAAGAAAGAGAAGUUCAAGAAAUAAAGGAAGAUGAUGGGAUUGUAGGUGUGGAGAGAGAUGUGUAUAUAGAAGGAGAUAUUUUGUAAAGAAAUAGGUUGAAAGGCGGUUGUUUGUCAACUUAAUUUGUCUUCUAGUCGGUGGAGCAAUGAAAAUGUGAGUCAACCGUUUUUGAAAUCCAUUUAGGAUUUUGAGAAUAGAGAAUAAAAUACAUGUUCACGAGGGAAAUGCUGAGGAUGGCUGACGAUCAUGACGGCAACUUUGUUGUCCAAAUGUCUCAUUGGGUGAUGGUUAACUAACAAUCAUAGGAUAAAAUCCAUGACUGCUAUAUGUGGAUUUUCUCAUUUGUUAAUGUUCCACCCCAACCUAAAAAGCAAAGCCAAAAAAAAAAAGUCAAUCCUAGAUUGUAAAAUUCAUACCCUUGUCUACAUAAAUGCUAUAGAAAUGUUAAGGGUGUGUUUGGACACAUUUUUAAAAACAUUUCUAAUGUGAUUGUUGACUGGGAAAUUGAUUAAAAAAUGCUACUUAAUCUUAUUUGAUGUUUUUUUGUUAAAGCUUUUGAUUCAUUUUAUUGAUUGUAAGGUAAGGUUGUAAAUAUUGGAUUGAUUAGGUAUAUGAAUGUUAUUUAUUCACAUAUUGAUGUAUAGAUUUGCAAAGGUUCUAGAAUCUUAAUUAAAUAAUUUUUCAAUAGUUUUUUGUUUGUUAAAUAUUGUUUGAUUUGUAAAAUAUUUAGGGAAAUGAAUAUUAAGUUUAUGCUUAUUAACUUGACUAGCCUGACUAACCUGAGCAUAAAUCUAUUAAUCUAAGCCUAACAAAUUUAAACUUGAGUUUAGAAAAAUAAGUUUAUGAAAGAUGGUAUGAAUUUUGACUUCUAAAAGAUGUAGAUAAAGGAUUCUUUGCACCAAAAAGAUUUGUAUCUAUCAUUGGGAGAGAAACCAAAACUUAUGGAUGAAAAUGAAUGGGAUUUGCUCGACUGCCAAGCCUUUGUUGCGAUUAGAUUAACCUUAUCAAAAACAGUUGCUUUUAAGAUAAAAAAACAAGUGCACAACAUGUCCCUCGUGGCCACCCUAACCAGUAUGUAUGAACAACCUUCUUGUGGACCCCGUAUUUCUGCUCAUGCGUUUCCACUCGAUGACGAGCUCACUUUUUUAUUUAAAAAAAUGAUUUAUUUUUUUAGAAAAUGACUUGGAGUCGCUACUUAUUUUUGUUUAAUUUUUAAAGGGUAAACAAAAUAAGAAAGAAAACUCUAAGUGUAACUCCUUAUUUGGAAAAAGUGGCCUGCGAAAAACCUGAUCUGGGUUCGAGGGUCAGGUUACUUAUCGGGAAUGUACGAUAAAGACCGUAGCACGCCUCUAAGUCCCUAAAAUCGGGUCUCUACUAAUAAGAUGAAGCAAUCAUGGCAAUUUGUAAGAAGAUCAAUGGAUACCGAAUGAAAAUCAAAACAAAAUGCCCGAAUGAAUAUAAGAGGCAAAGAACGUACCUAAGUGAUGAACUAAUUUAUUUCAUGGGAAGCAAAGGUUAGCAAACAAACACGAAAUAAUCGCAUGUAUUACAAAGUAAAUCAAGCAAGCAUGGCAACCAAGCAUGGCAAUUAAUUAGUCAAUGAGAAAAUCACACAUGUGGGGCCCCACCAAAACCCGAUUUAUUUUAGCAUAGAUUAAUUCCAUAAAUUUCAUUACUUGAAUUAUAGAAUUAUUCGGGCUUAUUAAAAAUGUGAAAAUCAGAAAAAAUAAAAAUAAAUCAAGGAGAAUUUAUGAAAGAUGUUUGCUGGAAAGAAAUGUGGCAACCAAUUUUAUUAAAAAAAGGGAAAAAUUUAAAAUUAACAAAUAAUAAUAAUAAUAAUAAUAAUAAAAUAAUGAUAAGAAUAAAAAUAAAAUAAAAUAAAUAUAAAUAUAAAAUAAAAGAUGCAUGCUAAGUGAAAAAUGGUAGCAAUUGAUUUAUUAAAACGGGAUUUAUUUAAAACCAAGAGAGAAAAAUUGAAGAAUUAAAAUGAUUUGGAAGCAAGAUUUUUGAAAAUCGAGUUUUGGAGGCAUGCAUAAAAAUAAGUAAACAAAGGAAGCAAGUGCACUUAAAAAAAAAAAAAAAAAGGAACAUAGGGGUGCGCACCUUGUACAUUAGUUGUACGCCGUUUCCGAAAUCACCAAUGGAGCUGGAAAAUACAAGAAGGUGAUGAGUGUACUGAAACUGGAGAUGAGUGAGAACUGACCAAGAAAAAACCCCAAAAUGACCAUGCGAAUGAGGAGCCUUGUGAACUUGGCAUCAAUUCUUCUUUGGGGGUACGAUACCCAGGCCAUGAAAAGUUCAGAUUGCUGGAUGGACACAAGACAGAGAUGAGAAUGAUACUCGGGCAGGCUACAUUAUUCCAUAAAGAAAUGCUUCAAUCUUGCUCAUUCAGAUCCUCUUGACCUUUGAAGAGGUUUCUAUUUCAGAAAAAGUAGGUACUGUAGGUGACACUUCCAAGCUGAUUUGCAUGAGCCUAGGGUUGGACAGCUCAAUUCCUCUGACCAACUGAUACGCAAAUUCCUAUUUCCGGCCGGACUAAGCAUUCUAUAUCCUCCCCCCAGUCCAUCCCCUAAUGAACUCUCUUCAAGAAAUACCAAAUUGCUGUUGGGGAUAAAUGUAUGCCCAAGAUCCAAUCUAUCAUGUAAUCAACUUUAGUUUUAAUAAGGUAUUAAUUCUUUAUUUCAUUAUCAUAUCUGUUUAAAAUAGUUUAUAUGAUAAGGUCCUUGAUUAAAAUUUGAAAAUUGUUAUCAUGAUAGAGAUUAUGAUAAUGAGAAGCAAUUCUUUUAAUAAUUUUAAUCUAAACUGUUCUUGAUCAUAGGAUUAUUGUCAACAGGACAUCAAUAAUCCAGAUAGAUCAAUAUAUAUGUGAUGGUCUUUAUUGGAUAAAGAUUGAUAUAUCUCAUUUGUUAAAUUACAUAUAUAGAUGAUGCACAUGUAGAUGUGAUCAUUGAACUGACUCAACUGAGAAUUUCUAAUGGUUAUCUUUACCUUAAAUUGUCAAUAGGAAUUUCUCAAGAAGAAAUAUAAUAGUUUUCUUUGACCUGAGAUUAUCAAAGUAAUUAACAAGUUAUUUAUUAUAUUUUAAUCCCGGACACCUAAUGCCUUAGGGCACUAGUUGAAUGGAUAUUGGAUAUAAUUAAAUACUUGUAGAAUUAAUGAUUAAUCAAGAAGGAAUCCAUCAACUCGUGGUAAUGAGUUUGAGCUCUAUGAUAAAAAUAAGACCUUGGCCAAGGGCAAUUGAAUGAAUGAAGAAAUGAGUUUCUUAAGUCAUAAGUCAUUCACUAAAUAAAUAAUGUGUUGACUUAUUAGAGUUUGACAGUAAUACCAUACUCUAGAGUUAGCCCAGAGCUGUAAAUGAUGGAAGGAAAUAUUACAUUAUUCUUCUACCGGUUCUUGAAAGUAAAAGAUAUUACUUCAUACUAUCUGGACGUUAAGGAGUGUUGCUAGACGCCUACCUUAAUUAGUAAAUUGAUUUGAUUAAUUUACUACCAGCUUAGUAAUGAACCUACGGGGUCACACACAAACGAGUGUUUUAAUCUUUGCAAAGAGCUAUUUAUUAUUAUUUGAUAAUUAAAUUAGAGAAUUUAAUUUUAAUCAAAUAAAUAAAUAUGUUCUAUGUGGAAUAUUAUUAUAUUCUUUGCUAGCACCAAGAAUAUAAUUAAUAUAUAGAUAAAUAAAAUAAAAUAUUUUUCUUUGGACGUGGAAGUUAGUCCACGAGAAUGUUUGCUAAACAUUUGCAAACAUAUGGGUACAUGCAGCAACUUACAGGAGGGAUGUGGGUUUUGUUUUUAACUUACAAGACUUGGUCAAAGUGUUUUUCAAAUGCUAUUGAAAAUAGCAAAAGAAAAACAAAUGGACCAAUAGAAUCUCUUAGUAGCCCAAAAAAAAGGAGGACACGAUAGAGAUAGAUUAAGUGAUAAAAUCAAAAAAAUCAAAUUAGUUGAGUUAUCUUAUCACUUAAAACAGAAGUUGUAUCGGAUAUGCUAUAUAGCAUAUAUACACAAUCUGAAUAAGGAUCGAUCUAUCUUUAUCCUCCUUGUUUUUACGCCAAAGAAAUACAAAGUGUUGUUCUAUUUUUUUUUAAGUUCCGCGUAUCAAAGGGUUGAUAGCAAAGAUUAAUUUCGGUGUGGAUACACGUAGAGUCUUCAUACAAUUGGAGAAAAAUUUAUGCUUGAAGAAUUGAUAUCCAGGUUAUUAUUUUAAAUUUUUUGAUAGCUGCGGUAUAUAUUUUGAAUGCAAAAUAGAUCAAUUUCCCGCUGUAUGUGUUAUAAAUUUAUUUUAUAACCUUUGAAUUGCAUCCUAUUGGCUAGCCUCCUCAUACCCGUUAUGGCAUACCUCUCCUUCAUCUUUCUUAGCCGAUGACCACCUCUCUUUUCUUUAGGCUCGGGAUCAGAAACUGGAAAAGGUUUAGGUUGUUUUGCAGGAGGUGGCUCCUGCCAUUUCUCAAUCUUCUUAAGGAUCUCUAUUCAAUGGAGUUCAAAAACUUAAACAAUAUGGUCUGAAGGCAUGACAUGGACGAUUUCUGAUUAAAGUUCCGAUGAUUCAAGUAGGAGACGUUCUCAUGGGGGAGAAUCCGAAACAGCGUCUAUGCCCUGAGUCACAAAUUUGUCUAGGAAUUUCAGAUAUAGCAGAUGCUCAGAGGAGAGUGCUUCUUCUUCAACCACAUCUUUCAUUGCUUGAACAUCCUUCCCAAUUGCAUAAUUUGCAUAGAGCUGAUUGGAUACAUCGGGUCAUGCCCUCACCAAUGUCACUCUUCAUUAAACGAGACAGUGAUGGGAGGACAUUGAUUGGUGGGUAUACCUGUCGAUUGUGGAGCUGUUUGUCAAUGUAAAUCUGGUCCUCAGUGGGAGCGGGAUGUGUUAUAUCAUCAUAGGGCAUAGUUAAAAUCGGGAUUUGUGUAAUGGGACCCUUCCUUCUUUCAAUACGUCCAGGCUCCAGCACGUUCGUAAAUUGUCGCCAGAUCAGCACACAUAUACCCAGGAUACCCACGCCUUCCGGGAACUUCUUCUCGGGCAGCAGAUACCUCAUAAAGAGCAUCUGCAUCAGAACUCAUAUCUGCUAGUAUGACAAGAACAUGUUUGCCACAUUCAUAUGCUAAAUAUUCAGCAGUGGUGAGAGCAAUGCGAAGAGUGAUGAUGUGUUCAAUGGUGGGGUCGUUGACCAGGUUGAGGAAUGGAGUCACUCUCUCCAUUGAUCUAUUUUCCUCGAAAUCACGUUUUUGAAAAAAAAAGCUGUGCAGUCUCCAUGUUUCCUCCCAUAGCUGCAAAAAAAAAACAAUGGCAAAGUUGUCCUCUUCCACGUCCUGUAGGAGACUUCCAGACUUCACAUUAUAUCCGAAUGUGGAAACGCCAACACAUCUUCAGCAUGUACUCAACCAACCCGAACGUGAAGCUCGAUAGUCCCCUCAUCAUCCAUUGAUGUCACAGUAUCUAGAGGGGAAGAACCAUCCAGAACAAUUGCAAAUCUUGAUGGUGAGAGAGCCACGAAGUUGGGAUCCUCGCUGAUCAUCACCGCAUGCAUUGACGCGCGUGGACGAUAAGGGAGCCAGGUGUGUCUGCUCAUGUCAAUUCCGACGUGAUUGGCAAAGCGUAAAGGACAUGGAGAGCCCCAUAAGCAACCUCCUUCAUGUCGGGAACUGAGACUCUAUGACCUCCAGACUUGAAGGCUCCAUGAAUAGUCAAAGAUUCGACUUCCUGUAGGUUUGCCACAUCCUGAACAGACCUGAAUUUUCUCUUCUUUCGGACCCUUGUCUCAGAAAAUGGUUCCAUAGCUGUCACGUGUUUCAGAGGCAAAUUGAUGCCUUGGAUUAAGAGGGUCUGAUGAUAGAGUCUUCUGAUUGAAACAGAACUCUUCCAAUAAAUGCUUCUGAAAUGAAUAACAAAACUAGGCCAAAAUAAGGGUGUACACUUCUACAAUAAAUAAGGCAUACCUAAUUAUGAAGCUCUUUAAUUUGAAGAUGCUUGAGAACAAAAAUUUUAAGCAACAUUUGAAUGAAUUUGCGAGUGAGAUAGAUUGCAAGAGGAGCACUACAAAGUAUGUCUAAGGAUACUUAUAACCAUUAGUUGGAUUUCACACUUUAGGCCUACAACUGAAGCAGAGUACAUGGUUAAUUAUGAUAAAAGUUAGCAAAAAGAUGAUUUGGUUGCAGCAAUAUUCAUUAGCAAAUUUAUGAGUCAAACAUAUGAUGAAUGUAUUAAAGUGAAAGACAUAUGGCUAAUUCAAUAUUUCAUUUAAUGACUAAAUAUAUUGUACUUUGUUAUCACUUCAUCAAGUUUUCACUUGAAGAUGGAGUGUCAACAUUUGUGAAGAUACAAGGUAGCAAGAAUCCAACUAACAUGUUGACCAAAAUAGUGAUAAUAGAGAAACUGGAGUUGUGCAUAGCUUUAAUGGGUCAUGGGUGAGGAUGGGUUGUUUAAGUGCACACCAUAUUCAUUAAUCAUUAAAGGAAGAUAUUUAGUUGUACUUUAGUUUUUAAGUGGGAGAUUGUUGGAUUAUAAAGUUUGAAUCAUUCUUAUCAUGCUACAUAGGAGAUGUCGAGGAUUGAAUGACAAGUUUGCCCCUAUUGUAUUUAACCCUUUAUGAUUCAAGGUUUAGUUAGAGAGUGGAAAGAAAAUAGCAUGGCCACAAUUGAAAGGAGGAGAGUUUUCACCAUAGUAACUUUUGUAUUUUCAUUUCAUUAGUGGAUUUUUGAGUGUUAGUGCAUUCGUGAAUGUAUGAUUCACAAUAAUCGUUGAACCAUGUUAAUUUUUUUUCUCUCUCUUAUUUUUGCUUAUGUAUAUGUGCUUAUGUUAAUCGGUUGUGAUUAGAUUAAUUGACUACUUGACUCGAACCAACCGGACUUGCAUGAGUUGCAUCCUUAUGAGGUUAAGGUUUUUGUGGAUAGGGGAUGGGAUGAAGAGGAUGAGGACAUUUUUUGCCCUUUCACAUUCAAGUUUUAUUUGAAAGUUAAAUACAAUUGUAUGCAUACAUUUCAUGUUGUUUGAUCUAAGAAAGAUGGGAAAAAAGAUAAAACAAAUUUAUAUUAAUAUAUAAGAAAAAUGAAUGUCAAUAAUAUGACCAUGUGCUUUAAUUUGAUCUUGUAGUUGAUCUUAGUUCAAGAUGACACAAAUUCUUGAAUAAAAAAUGUGGUCUAAGGGUCAACUAGACUUGAUCUUGACUUUGUUACCUAAAAUGUGGUCUUCAUCUUUAAAAGAAUGAAAGAAAACUACUUAUUUUUUGCUUUAAUUAAUUUUUUUUCAUGGGCUUGCCAAGAAAUGUCGAAUAGUAAAGGAUGUUCAAACUUGUUGAAGAUUCAUUCACUAUUCAAGCUCAUUUGUUACUCAAACUUCCAUCAAAAGGAUACAUGAGCUACUCUUGUUUAAAAAACCUCAUGAAUUUUUGUCCACUCUUCAAUUUUUUUUUUUUCCUUAAAGAAAAUGUUAUAAUGGUUUCAUUUUAAAUGUUCAUGCCAGAACUUCAACUUCUCUACUUGCACUCCUCCCUUUGAAAUCAAGGAUAGUUUGUCUAUGUUUUAGAAAGUUUAAAUAAUGAGACCAUUAUAUUUGACACUUCAAUUCAAAUUUGAAAUAUUGCCAACAUAUGAAUCUAAAGUUUAAAUUUAGACAACACUUAAAAGUUGAUUUGUCAAUCAAAUUCACUUUUAAACUUUUCAUUAAUUCUUAACUUAAAAAUAAAUUAUAUUACCUAGAUUUUAUGCAAUUUAUAAAUUAGUAAAUUUUUUCUUAUUUUUUAAGUAAAUUUAGAUAUAAAUUUUUUUUUUUUGAGGAAUAUAUAUUAAAAACAACACAAAUUAUAUUUUGAUCGGAUAAACCAAACAUAAUUAUCUUACUUUAAACAAAUAUUAAAUACAUCGGUAUAAGAGUGAAAGACUAGGGAUCUGUUUAGUAAUUGUUUUUUAGAACAAUUUUCUAUUUUUCAUAAUAAAAUAAUAAGAAAAUACGUUUGAUAGAAACUAUUUUCUUUUUUCUUUUCUUAAGAUAAGAAAAUAUGAUUUUUUUAGAUAACAUCUUUAAUUAUUUUAUAUUGUUUUCCCUUGUUUUCUAAAAGUUAUCUCAUAAAAUAAUUAUAAAAUGAUUAAAAAUAAAACACAUGAUAUAAGAAUUAUUUUUGAAACAUAUUUUAAAAUAUUAAAAACGGGUUAAAAACAAAAUCAGAAAACAUGUUCUCAAAAAUAGUUUUUCAAAACUAUUUUCGAAAACAGCUAUCAAAUAGUGUCUAAUUAACUAGGUAAAAAGAAAACAUCUAUUUAUUCUAAACAAAUAUAAUUGAAUACAUUAACACGACAGUGUUAACUAAAAAUAUAUUCGAUAAUUAUUACUUCUCUUUCAAAGCAAAUACUACAUAUCACCGUCCAAUAAUUGUACAAGAAAAUAUAUAUUUUCUAAUUUAUAAAAUAAAUAAUAAUAAAGUAGUAAAUAUUUUAAAUAUCAAACAAGAUUGAAGAUUCUAUCCAUGGUAUGGAAAACCACUUUAUUUAGUCACGUGUGAUUGUCAUCUCUGCAACCUGAAACAUUUCCUCUAUUCAUCAUGCAGACUUUCCAGGAGUUCCUAGACCUGGGGGACCUUUACCGCGGCAUCUGGUGAUGGGUGAGCAACCCCUUUGCCAUCGAUGGGCUUCUUGAGGUGGAGCCUUGGGAUUCUCGCGACAACCCACUGGUGGACUCGGUCCAUGGCAUGGGUCUAGGAACUUAUCAAUGUCAACCUCACCAUGUACGUACAUGACCAAAAUCAUGCUGACAAGAGUCAGACAUAUGAGCCAUUUCUUCGUGAUGGAGAGUCCCAUGAUCUCUAUGUUAAAUUCCUUUUUCUUUAGCUUCCAAUGCAUGGCUAGUCAUG
RNAcentral lists this long non-coding RNA (29577 nucleotides) under Vitis vinifera (wine grape). RNAcentral describes it as "long non-coding RNA (VVIN_LNC001922)". The record is from RNAcentral. Lineage: Eukaryota; Viridiplantae; Streptophyta; Magnoliopsida; Vitales; Vitaceae.